Abrus precatorius (Indian licorice) is the source of this 2161-nucleotide RNA transcript. RefSeq lists it as uncharacterized. The transcript has 12 exons. NCBI's taxonomy places the organism in Eukaryota, Viridiplantae, Streptophyta, Magnoliopsida, Fabales, Fabaceae. The record is from RefSeq and is a predicted model, not a curated record.
UUCCCAAUUCCAUCCUGUUUCCAUCUUUCUGUCACUUAACCAAUAGAGUCAGAGAACACAAGCUAUGCUACUUUGCUUAAGCACUCAUCCUAGAUCAGAAUCUAGAGUUGAGGAUAGUAAAUAGUGUCUAUCUAAUCUCUCUCUCUCUCUCUCUCUCUUGUUUGGAUAACUUGUUUUGUCUUCAUUGAAUUCUUCUCCCUGCAAUGCCAGGAACCAUCCUGGUUUCAGUACUGGAAUUCAUGGAUAUACCAUUAUCUCCAUCAACAUCCAUAAGGGCGGUAAAUGAAUGCAGUUUGCUUGGGAAAAAUAGAGUACCAAAUCAGUGACAAGGGAAACUUUUCCUUCCCCAUAACGAGCCUCCGCGAUGAUUUAAUUUUUAAAAUUCAGGAUGCCGAGGGCAAGGAAAUAUCACAUACAGGUGUUGAAGUUAGGUUGAUAUUAGAAAAAGGUGUCUGGGAAGACAUUUUUCCCCUUGGGGUGGGGCAUCUGCAUUUGAAGUUGCAAUUCAUCCUAAAUGAUGAAGAGCGUGAUAGAAUUCGUUCAUUGAGACAAUCUGCAUUGAAGAAAAAACACGAUGAGCUUCUUAGUAGCAGUACAAGAGGUGCAGAAAAAAGUGACAUUAGUACUACUGUUGGCAAUGCUGCAUUACUCUUCCCCCCAAAUGAUGAGGUCUCAGAAUCACCAAAGAAACACCUUCAAAGCGAAGCAGUUUCUCAAUUGCAAGAUCCUGUUGAUCUCGGUAAUGAUAAAGAAUCUGAUACUAGAAAUGUAGUAGGGACUCAGCUUGACCAGAAACAGCUAAAUACAAACAUUGAAGAUCAACAUAAAGAGACCUCAUCCACAAAAGUAUCACAAGAAGUUAAACUCACUCAAUUACAACACAAGGAUAAAAAGCCAGCCAAUCAGUCACAAUCUAAGAAACAUCCUCAAGGAGCUAUUGGUUCAGAAGAAAUGGCAACAUUGUUAGGCUCAGACAAAAAGGAUGUCAGAAAAAGUAAUCUGAUACAACCUAAUCUAGAGGAAGAAGGUCUUCAAUAUUCUGAGAAGAAGACUCCACCAGAUAGAACUCCCAGUAAUGUGAGGAAAAUGAUAAGUGCUUUUGAAAGUGGGUUGGCUCAGGAUAAGAGAUCUCAUAUUAAACCACCUCCAACAAAAUAUCAAGCAAGUAUAAUUGAAAGGAAAGAUUCUUCCAAGACUCAGCACUUGGAGCAAGAUAAGUCAAGGACCACUGAGCAGGCAGAUUUCUUGCAAGAAAGGAAUGCACCAUAUCUUGCAACUGGAACUGAAGGGAGCAAGGAUGAAAAGAUAAAGGAAAUUAAAGAAUCAAAGACCAAGACUUCUAAUGAUAAUGGAGAUGAAAGUUCUGGAGGACCGAUUAAUCAGGUUACAAUAAAAAUUCAAGUAGAAAUUCUUGCUUGUUCAACUUUAAAUAUUAUUAGUGUUAAUCUGGGAAAAAUAAUCACUGUUUUCAUAUUUGCAGCACUGGCCCCAAGUUAGGCAAUGAGUUUGUGCAUGCAAUGUCGCAUAUAUCUAUCCUGUAUUUGGAUAUAGUAGUUCAAGCUUAAAUAGAAGUAGAAUAGAUUGCUAUUUCUCAUUUUUAGUAAUAUCCUGUUCUCAACUAUUGUUGAAGAAUGCUUAUAUCUGCCCCUUUUUCACAUAUUCAUCUCCCAGGUAAUAAAAGUUGCAAUCAUUAUAGGGUUUGGAAUACUUGUUCUCCUAACCAGACAAAGAAAAAGAAGAUAGGAAGUUGUGGGAAAUCAACAACUGACAUCACUUGUCACACGUUUACAAAAUACAAACAAGCUUUCCUUAGAUGUUCAUGUGGUUUUUGGUUCUAAUCUUCUACCCCAAUUUGAAUUCUCUCAAUAAUGAAGAAGAAGACUGCCUGAGAAUUAAUUCAACAAAUUUCAAAUUCUUCAUUUGUUGAAGCACAUACAUGUGAAGGCUGCAGUCAACAACUUUCUAGUAUCAGAUAGUAGAAAAUCUGUAAAGUUUUCCAUGUUAGAGAUUGAAGCAACUAAUUAACCUAUGUGUUUUCUUAAUUACAACCAGCACAUUUAGUCAAUUUAUUAAAUUCAUGACAAAGUUAGCAUAUGAGACCUUUUUUGUAAAAAAAAAAAAAUAGUGACAGGUUUAAUCAAUUUUAUUCGUACAAAUUUGU